RNAcentral lists this ribosomal RNA (527 nucleotides) under uncultured bacterium. RNAcentral describes it as "bacterial SSU rRNA". It matches the Rfam family "Bacterial small subunit ribosomal RNA", at positions 776 to 1300 of the family's 1533-position model. The record is from RNAcentral.
AAAUAGAUACCCUGGUAGUCCACGCCGUAAACGAUGAGUGCUAAGUGUUAGAGGGUUUCCGGCCCUUUAGUGCUGCAGCUAACGCAUUAAGCACUCCGCCUGGGGAGUACGGCCGCAAGGCUGAAACUCAAAGGAAUUGACGGGGGCCCGCACAAGCGGUGGAGCAUGUGGUUUAAUUCGAAGCAACGCGAAGAACCUUACCAGGUCUUGACAUCCUCUGCCAACCCUAGAGAUAGGGCGUUCCCCUUCGGGGGACAGAGUGACAGGUGGUGCAUGGUUGUCGUCAGCUCGUGUCGUGAGAUGUUGGGUUAAGUCCCGCAACGAGCGCAACCCUUGAUCUUAGUUGCCAGCAUUCAGUUGGGCACUCUAAGGUGACUGCCGGUGACAAACCGGAGGAAGGUGGGGAUGACGUCAAAUCAUCAUGCCCCUUAUGACCUGGGCUACACACGUGCUACAAUGGAUGGUACAAAGAGCUGCGAACCCGCGAGGGUAAGCGAAUCUCAUAAAGCCAUUCUCAGUUCGGAUUG